Molecule: long non-coding RNA, 1217 nt
Organism: Rosa rugosa (rugosa rose)
Lineage: Eukaryota; Viridiplantae; Streptophyta; Magnoliopsida; Rosales; Rosaceae
Exons: 4
Source: RefSeq, a predicted model, not a curated record
GAAUGAUCGACAGAUAGCGAGAGAGAAAAAGAGAGAGCGUCAGACCGAGAGUGUUAGAACGAUCUCGGGAUAGAGAGACAGAGAGCGCUUCUAAAUGAGAGAGAAAUUUGAUCCAUCAUUGUUGCAGGCAGAAAGAGAGAGCUACAGACUAAAUCAUUUCAUGAGCUGGUGCAAUGACUUGCUAUGAGAUUUUGGCAACUGGAAAGCCUUCCAUUCUGAUACAGUCACCCGAUGUUGCUGAAGGACAUCAAUUUAAAAAUGCUUCUUUGUUGGCAGGGAGUGCCAAAAUGGAAGAGAGGGUGAAGGAGGGAACUGAAAACAUCUUCCCUUGGUUUUAAGCAUUCAAAUCUUUCAAAGGGACGAGCACAUUGAAAUUGCCAAAGCUAAGAAGAAGCUGAGGAAGAGCUUGAUACUCAGGCAUGUUUUCUUACCAGGCUUUGUUAUCUCCAGAUCUAUCUGUUAAUCAUUCUGCUCUGAUUACUUGCCUUAUAAAACUCUCUAAUUUGACACUGUUGAAACAGAUCAAAGGCUUGCAGUAUGUUAUCCAGCAUAAGAGCAUUCUGUUUCGAAAAUCCUUAAACAGAUCAAACAACUUAUAAACACACGUGGAGAAGUCAUUGUAAAUGCCGCUGUACAAGGCAAGAUUCAGGAAUCAGUCGUUCAUAUAGACAAAGAAACCCUUAAUUACUCUCAUCUUUUUGUUGUACUUUGUUUUUUUUUUUUUUUCCAAAAGUUUUUAAGCUAACAGAUCAGUUUUUGGAUUAUAUUAUUUUGAUAAUAUAAUGCUUUGUUCAUUCUUGAACUAGAUUCAUACAAUGUAAACUAAAUUCUGAAAAAUUCGUUUAGCGCAUAUUUUUUGUUUCAUCUAAACACAUCUUGGCUGGUUUUCUGAACCAAAAACUUAAAACUGAACAUAAAAAUAUCAAAAUACAAAAUCUACCCCGCGGCAUCGCGCGGGUUCUCUUGCUAGUGUAUUCCAACGACGAAGGAUGAUCCUAAUCUUCGCCUGGAUAUUAAACAGGACUUCUCUAUUCAUAUAGAGUUCAGAGAUGGUAGGAUAUGUGAUACUAUUCUCAUCCUCUUCUUGCUUGUCACUUUUACUAGAACCAUCUUCCUUUCUCCAAAAAGCAAGAGGUCCUAUCAGUUUCUUGACAAAUCUCUUUGUCGCACCUUUCUUUUUCACAGGAGUUCCUUCACGGAUUUUCAAAUUGCAUUCU